RNAcentral lists this long non-coding RNA (314 nucleotides) under Fragaria vesca (wild strawberry). RNAcentral describes it as "long non-coding RNA (FVES_LNC005239)". The record is from RNAcentral. Lineage: Eukaryota; Viridiplantae; Streptophyta; Magnoliopsida; Rosales; Rosaceae.
UCUCUCUAUGCAUGUUUAAGGGGUGAGGGCAAAAUAGUCUUAAAAUAAUAUGGUUUGUUGAGACUUUAGUAAAGAUUUAUGCAUUUGGGCAUAAAAAUUUGUGCAUAAAAAAUGUUACCUUAUAUUAAAAUGGGCUCAUAGAAAAGAUUGUCAUUGGAAUGGGAAAUGAAGGGUUACAAUUAGUACUAAAUAGGCAUUUUCCCUUAUAUAUAUAAUUAUACUCAGUUCGAAAAAUAUGAAGUCAUUUGAAUAUAUAUAUAUAUAUACAUAUAUAUAUUUAUUUAUAUAUAGUUGUGAAUUAAGAAGUAUAAAAC